Parelaphostrongylus tenuis is the source of this 72-nucleotide non-coding RNA. NCBI's taxonomy places the organism in Eukaryota, Metazoa, Nematoda, Chromadorea, Rhabditida, Metastrongylidae. The record is from the annotation of a GenBank genome assembly.
GGCUUGAUGGUGUAGUGAUAGCACGCGCCUCCCGUACGGAUGAGAUGCGGGUUCAACUCCCGUUUGAGGUCG